CUUCAUGCAGUCUCUUGUUGUUAUCUACCACUACUGGUUCAGGACUAGCGUUUGGCCUCUCGUUACUACCUAUUCGUGUCAGUUUAAGUCCAGUGCACAUCUGGUGUCCUACCAUGAUAUUUUUAGAUCCGUUCGGUUGUAAAUUAUUUAUAUUUAUUUUCUUUAAUUACUUUUUUGUGUUCCGCUGGCUUAUGGGGGU
RNAcentral lists this long non-coding RNA (199 nucleotides) under Capsicum annuum. Its description in RNAcentral is "long non-coding RNA (CANN_LNC019663)". Lineage: Eukaryota; Viridiplantae; Streptophyta; Magnoliopsida; Solanales; Solanaceae. The record is from RNAcentral.